GGGAAGUUGGAGAAAAGAGCUUUUUUUGCAUUUGGCCCCUUCAAAAAAAUUUAUUUUAAAAAUAGCACCAACAAACUUAUAUUUGCAAAAAUGGCCUUAAUCCUGACACGCAGGCGCCACGUCAGCUGGGCUGGGGCCAGUUUGUUAAGUUGAACAAGGUGAUCCAUUCACCGUGUUUAAAAACAGUGAAUGGUUCACUGUGUUUGGGAAAAAUAUAGUAUAUAUGUAUUGCAUUGCGAAAAAAUAUAAGUAUUGAAAAGGAAAAAAUAGGGGAAUAUACGUAUAGAACACAGUGAACCAUUCACCGUAUUUGAACACGGUGAAUGGUUCACCGUGUUCAACUUAACACCAUACCCCUAAUGUGGCACCUACGUGGCGGGGAUAGGGCCAAAUUUGCAAUUAUAAAUUUGAUGAGGCUAUUUGUAAAAAAAUUAUUUUGAAAGGGCCAAAUGCAAAAA
This 458-nucleotide long non-coding RNA is filed under the name Ananas comosus (pineapple). RNAcentral describes it as "long non-coding RNA (ACOM_LNC032896)". Lineage: Eukaryota; Viridiplantae; Streptophyta; Magnoliopsida; Poales; Bromeliaceae. The record is from RNAcentral.